UGUGCAAGAAUGUGGCUCCAGAAGGCUCCGCUGUCUGCGUGGAACCCCGUUUGCCGUGUCUCCGGACUCGCAGCUGCUGGGAGCCGGGACCCGGCACAGGACGCGGCUGCGGGACAGGGCGGGACACGUCACGGUCCAAGAAAGCAGCACCUUUCUUCCUUCAGAUCUUUCCUCUGAAGACUCAUUUUGUCUGGAGGUUGCACUGCAGCAGGGAAGAAUUUUGUCAAAAAUAAGGACGUGCUUAGGAGGAAUGAAAAGCCAGCCCCACUCACUCAAUCUGAAAACAAGACUGCAGAAAAGAGACAGCAUGGAUUUCAUCUCUGAGGUAAAGUGAAAUUUCACAAUUUUCCUGAAGACAGACAUGGUGGGCUUUCUUUUGUUUUGCAGACAAUCACACAGAAGCCAAAUCUGCUGGGAGGCUAACAGGACUGCAGGAAGCUACGUAGAUGCUGCAAUCCCAGGAAGCCUUUCCUCCUCUUGGACUUUGAUGAGUCAUAAUGUGCUCUCUGAACUUGGCUUUUCCUCUUUCUAGUUUUGGCAUCAAGUGAUAGAAGUCUCUGUUCUCAUGUCUUUAUGGCUACCUCCAUGUGUUAUGUAAGUCUGCUGUGGUUGGCAUUCUGCACAGGGUAGAUACUAGAUUUGGAAAUUAAUAUCAAGUUUCAACACCCUCAAAGGGGGGGGGGAUCCAGGCACAAAGUUAGGAAGCUUUCAGUCCCACCAGGCAAACUGCUAGAGAGCUGACUGCAAUGUUGCCUGGCUACAAAAGGGAGCAGGUAAGAUCCUCUGGAAAAUGAACACUCCAUCUACCUUAAUGCAGACAGAACUUUGACAGAGUGAACUUGAGUGAGUAUGAGAAUUAGCAGGUGAAUUUAUUACAGAAAUAAAUACUAUCCCCCCAACCUCCUCUUUUCCCCUUAAUCAUCAAACUCAAGUGAUCUGGCUUUUCAACAACAGUUCCUCUAAAAUACUUCCCCUGUUCUCUUCAUGAUCACAGAGCUCUCUAUUUUAAAAGCCUCUGUCUAGUCCCAGUUCAUUACAUGCUAUGUCUCAGAUUUCCAAGCAUCACUGCAGUUGGACAAAGACAGAUUUCUUGUCAGUUUUUCUGGCCUCCCUACAGAUGUCUGCCUGCUGGUUCCUACUGGGUAAAUUGAACAUACUUCCCUAUGAUGUAAAUGCUGAUCUCCACCCGCACCCUUCAAGAUUCAACUGUGGUCCAGCACCUUUCCCAUGGUCCUCCUCAUCCCAUCAAGGCAGGCGAAGCUGCUUGUCUGUGCUCUGCUCCCAUAGCAACCAGUGUGUACCACCAUUAUCGCACUUAUCGCUGAAAUGUGAUUAUUUGUUUGGUAUCCUCCACAAGAUGGUUAGUACCAGGAGGCUGUAGAACAAAGUCAGUUCAUCCAGGAAACCUCUGCAAUUAGCUGGGAGCCUGGCACACUGUAUGCUAUUUAAGAAAAACUUGGCUGAAUGAAAGGAUGCCAGAGACUCUAAACAUCAUCUGACAGAGAAUUUAGCAGGUCUUUGCAGCUGGUGACUGACAUGUUAGUGAGAGAGAUUUCUAAAUUUUCAGAAUCUCUGUGUUAUUUUUCAAUCUGAAACUUUGGUUUUAUUGGGGGGUGAGGGCUGGGAGAAGCUGGAGAGAAACUUUAGCUCCUGCACUCAAGAAAUGAUAAGGAAGAGGUUGGUUUGGCUUUUAUGCCAGGUUAGCAGUAAGGUGAAUGCAUACACAGCAACUGUGUAAUGGAGUAGCAAUAACUACAGUCGCAAUUUCUUAAAAGCAUAUACCACUGUUUGUGCAGAAACUUAAGUUUUUUAACAAAUGUUUUAUUUAUUUUUGGAUACAGAGAAAUCGAGGAGGGAGAGGGAGAGGGAGAGAGAGAGAGAGAGAGAGAAAGAGAAAGAGAGGGACACUUGCAGACCUGUUUUACUGCUCCUGAGGUUUCCCCCUUGCAGGUAGGAGCCGAGGACUUGAAACCAGGUCUUUGUACAUCCAAGUAAGCCACCAACCAGCCCCUUGUGUAGAAACUCCUAUAAAUGGCAUUUAAUCCACUUAACCCUUAUGAUAUUAUCCUGGUUCUAUGGUGGAGAGGCUGUGAGUGAUUUGCCUAAAACAGGGGUCUCUAAAAUGAAGUGAGCAAGGACGUUUACUGUGAUUUAGAAAGAAUGGGAGAAAUAAAAUCUCUGUAGUCACUAAAAACAUGUCAUGACAGGGGCCAGGUGGUGGUACACCUGGUUAAGCACACAUAUUACCAAGCACAGGGACCCUAGUUUGAACCCCUGCUCCUUAUCUGCAGGGGUGACACUUCAUGAGUAGCAAAGUAGGUCUGCAGGUAUUUCUUUUUCUCCCUCUCUGUCUCUCCUCUCUUCUCAAUUUCUUUUUGUUCCAUCAAAUAUGAUAGAAAAGGAGGGGGGAGGAGUAGGGUAAAUGGCCACCAGGAGCAGUGGAUUCAUAGUGCUGUCACAAGACCCAGCCAUAACCCUGGUGAUGAUGAUGAUGAUGAUGAUGGUGAUGAUAAAUAUAAUGGCAAGAGAUAAAAAAAAAAAAAGCUUUCUAAGUUAUUGUGGCCAUUGAUUAACUUGCCCCAUGUACCCUGUAUGGUAUGUGAUCACUAUCCAAAAGUUCACAGAGAGGUGAUGGUGGGUCCACUCUAGUUCCUCACUUCCAGGAUAUUGACUGACAUUGCCCAAAAAUCUACAGCCACCACAGCUAUAUUAUUUGACGUUUAACCAAUAAACUCUCUUCUUUGGAA
Molecule: long non-coding RNA, 2747 nt
Organism: Erinaceus europaeus (western European hedgehog)
Lineage: Eukaryota; Metazoa; Chordata; Mammalia; Eulipotyphla; Erinaceidae
Exons: 2
Source: RefSeq, a predicted model, not a curated record